This 460-nucleotide ribosomal RNA is filed under the name uncultured bacterium. Its description in RNAcentral is "partial 16S ribosomal RNA". It matches the Rfam family "Bacterial small subunit ribosomal RNA", at positions 338 to 795 of the family's 1533-position model. The record is from RNAcentral.
CCUACGGGAGGCAGCAGUGAGGAAUAUUGGUCAAUGGACGAGAGUCUGAACCAGCCAAGCAGCGUGAAGGAUGACUGCCCUAUGGGUUGUAAACUUCUUUUAUAUGGGAAUAAAAUGUUCCACGUGUGGGAUGUUGUAUGUACCAUAUGAAUAAGGAUCGGCUAACUCCGUGCCAGCAGCCGCGGUAAUACGGCGGAUCCGAGCGUUAUCCGGAUUUAGUGGGUUUAAAGGUCGCGUAGGUGGAUUGGUAAGUCAGUUGUGAAAGUUUGGGGCUCAACCGUAAAAUUGCAGUUGAAACUGGCAGUCUUGAGUACAGUAGAGGUAGGCGGAAUGCGUGGUGUAGCGGUGAAAUGCUUAGAUAUCACGAAGAACUCCGAUUGCGAAGGCAGCUCACUGGACUGCAACUGACACUGAGGCUCGAAAGUGUGGGUAUCAAACAGGAUUAGAUACCCUAGUAGUC